CUGACCGUAAACGAUGCCAACUAGCGAUCCGCCGGUGGCUACAAGGCCCUGGUGGGGAGCUUCCCGGAAACGAAAGUCUUCCGGUUCCGGGGGAAGUAUGGUUGCAAAGCUGAAACUUAAAGGAAUUGACGGAAGGGCACCACCAGGAGUGGAGCCUGCGGCUUAAUUUGACUCAACACGGGAAAACUCACCCGGCCCGGACACCGUAAGGAUUGACAGAUUGAUAGCUUUUUCAUGAUUCGGUGGUUGGUGGUGCAUGGCCGUUCUUAGUUCGUGGAUCGAUUUGUCUGGUUUAUUCCGAUAACGAGCGAGACUCCAGCCUACUAACUAGUGCGAGCAUUGCCACUGUGCUUUUGCACUUCUUAGAGGGAUUGGCUGCGUCUAGCGGCACGAAACGGAGCAAUAACAGGUCUGUGAUGCCCUUAGAUGUCCGGGGCUGCACGCGCGCUACACUGGCAAAGGCAGCGUGCUUGUCCGUCUCCGAAAGGAGUCGGUAAACCCUUGAAAAUUUGCCGUGAUUGGGAUCGGAAAUUGCAAUUAUUCCGUGACGAGAUCCUAGUAAGUGCGAGUCAUCAGCUCGCGUUG
This 585-nucleotide ribosomal RNA is filed under the name Nothocriconemoides sp. l XZ-2021. RNAcentral's name for it is "SSU rRNA". It matches the Rfam family "Eukaryotic small subunit ribosomal RNA", at positions 1026 to 1643 of the family's 1831-position model. The record is from RNAcentral. Lineage: Eukaryota; Metazoa; Nematoda; Chromadorea; Rhabditida; Criconematidae.